UACAGAGGGUGCGAGCGUUAAUCGGAAUUACUGGGCGUAAAGCGUGCGCAGGCGGCUUUGCAAGACAGAUGUGAAAUCCCCGGGCUUAACCUGGGAACUGCAUUUGUGACUGCAAGGCUAGAGUACGGUAGAGGGGGAUGGAAUUCCGCGUGUAGCAGUGAAAUGCGUAGAUAUGCGGAGGAACACCGAUGGCGAAGGCAGUCCCCUGGGCCUGUACUGACGCUCAUGCACGAAAGCGUGGGGAGCAAACAGG
Molecule: ribosomal RNA, 253 nt
Filed under: uncultured bacterium
Lineage: Bacteria
Description: partial 16S ribosomal RNA
Rfam family: Bacterial small subunit ribosomal RNA
Source: RNAcentral